RNAcentral lists this ribosomal RNA (492 nucleotides) under uncultured bacterium. RNAcentral describes it as "partial 16S ribosomal RNA". It matches the Rfam family "Bacterial small subunit ribosomal RNA", at positions 29 to 507 of the family's 1533-position model. The record is from RNAcentral.
AGUGAACGCUGGCGGUAGGCCUAACACAUGCAAGUCGAACGGCAGCACAGUAAGAGCUUGCUCUUACGGGUGGCGAGUGGCGGACGGGUGAGGAAUACAUCGGAAUCUACUUUUUCGUGGGGGAUAACGUAGGGAAACUUACGCUAAUACCGCAUACGACCUACGGGUGAAAGCAGGGGAUCUUCGGACCUUGCGCGAUUGAAUGAGCCGAUGUCGGAUUAGCUAGUUGGCGGGGUAAAGGCCCACCAAGGCGACGAUCCGUAGCUGGUCUGAGAGGAUGGUCAGCCACACUGGAGCUGAGACACGGUCCAGACUCCUACGAGAGGCAGCAGUGGGGAAUAUUGGACAAUGGGCGCAAGCCUGAUCCAGCCAUACCGCGUGGGUGAAGAAGGCCUUCGGGUUGUAAAGCCCUUUUGUUGGGAAAGAAAAGCAGCAGGUUAAUACCCCGCUGUUCUGACGGUACCCAAAGAAUAAGCACCGGCUAACUUCGUG